ACGGAUGAAAAUUUUACAAGAUAUGCAGACCAAAUAGCUAAAAUUGCUUAAGUGGUUCCGAAUAUUUGAAAAACAUGAAGUUAGAUGUUAUUGAAAAUUGAAAAUUCGCGUCGCGUUGCAUGGCGUGAACGUUGCGGAUACAGGCCUACACCCACGAUCCGCCAUGUAAAGUGUAGUGAAAUGUAUCUCAAUACUAAUCGUAAUCAUAGCCAACAGUAGCCUCUGCGGAGGAGAGAGCUACGCGAUGUUAGUGUACGAACGCCCACGCAUUAUUUUAGAACAGGAAAUUACUGUAUUACUUUUUUCAAUGGGGGAAGUCGUAUCCAAAAAUAGCUGGUUUAAUUACGUAUAGUAUUAAUACACCGAUAUGAAGAUUGGAUAUCGGCGCUAAAUUCAAAAUAUUGGUAUCGGUACUUUUGUUGCCGAUAUUAUCCGCAUUGUAUUAUAACAUACAAUAUAUUUUAAAGUUAAAGACAAAGUAUAUUUUGGAUUGCAAUUUGAUUGUAACACAACACAGUGACGUGAAUGUAUGAAUAUAAACUCAAUAAUUUAUAGCCAUAUUCAAAGAAGUUAUCAAUGUAUACAUGUAUACAUUAAGUUGUUCAUGCAUUUGAUUUUUCGAUGUAAAAUAGAAUAUCGCGUCAUCGGAUGUAUGCCAAUAUUGGCCCUUGAAUAUCGGUUAUCAGAAUAUCGGUAAAAUCCCAUGUUGGUUAUAUCACCAUGCCAAGACCAAGUUCUUCAGAAAGGGAAUUUCGAACGAAUACUCAUAAUCAGCCCGGAUAGACCAUAUGCUCUGCGAUCGACAAAUAACCUUGCAAGUGGCAAAGGCAUCGACCAAAUCCUUCUUUAUAGGCAAUUCCAGCUUUUAGUUUAUGCGUGCAGGGGAGGAUGGGAAGUUAUCGUAUUGCUGAUUAUGCUGAAAUAAAAUGGUGGCCGUGUAAACACGGAGUGAUAGCUUAUACUUGUGAAUAUUGAAAUAUUUCGGUUGUUUCGGCAGUUUUUAUUGAAACUUUUCAGCAUAAUCAGCAACAUGAUACCUUACUUCCCAUCACGCCCUGCGCGCAUAAAUUAAAAGCUGGAAUUGCCUAUAACGAUACACAAAAUUGACAAAGUGGCUUUUAAUGCAAUAUGAAUAAAGAAAACAUUUAAAUAUUCGGAUAGUUUCUAUUUUCUACAGGUACAAAUUGAAAAUGAAUCGGUCCAAAAGUACUGUCACUAAAAUGAUGAUUUCGCGUAAAAAGUUCAUGACGCAGCAAAUACGAUUUCCGUUGUUGUAAAGAAACUGCUGAUUUGACAUGUAGAGAUAUUUUCAUAUUCUCGGAAAGUACUCAGCCAAACCUCGUACCCAGGCUAAUUCCUCUUAUGCUCUGAUGCCACGGCCACCUGCUGACCCUGGAAGUGCUCUCACUUUUAAGGAAUUAUCCUUAAAAAUAGGAAUCUUGAAGAAUUUUAAGGAUUCUUUUAAGGAAUUUAUGUGACCAGGCCUUGUAGUAAUUUUAUCAAUUUAAGGAAUUUUAAGGAAAUCUGAGGAAUUUUCAAGCUUUUUCUAAGGAAUUCGAAAAUUUGAUUGCGAGAGCACUGGACCCUGACUACGAGGAUGUACUCAGCUUUGCCUUAUAUAUAGAGCCUCGUUUUUGUGACUUGAGAGUCAUUUAUACACUAAGAUUAUCAAUAACAAGAUAUCGAGUUUCUGAUUGGAAAUCUGUGCUUAUCACUCAUGUCAGCAAAAAAUUGUUGAUGUUGGAUUAUGGAUAUAGAUUAUAGUCGAGUAAAUGCGAAAAAGAAAUGUUUAGACGUCAGGUUCAGUUAAGCUGCUCGUUCACCUGACAAAGUGUUAAAAAGCAUUGAACCUAGUCCUAGGUGGAUUUACAUGGCCUGUUAAUUUAAAGUGGAUUCUAUUUAUACGGUCUAGUAUUAUACUUAUUGUGUUAAAAUUAUUUUUUAUAUAUGUAUAUAAUUUGUUGUACUUUGUCUUUAUUCAAUUUAUACUCCAUACGUGUUUUUAAAUAGAAUACAAAUAUAUGUUGUUGGUGACUUGUUGUUGCUGUCCAUGCAGUCGAAGUGACCUGACACAAUCUUAUAAUGAAGACAGUUGAGUUGUAAGAGCAUGAACAUUUAAAACUAUUUUCGAAUAUAUUUCGUUUGUUAUAUAGAUCUGACACGACCCACCAUUCUAUGAAAUAGAUACACGUUUUAAAUAUCAAUUGAAUAAUGUUCUAAUUUCGAUACAAAAAUCUUUCUCGUUCAUCGCUGGAUUUUUUUUAUAAACGACAUGUCUCUUGGAUAUGUAAAGCAAAUUGAGAAAUAUUUAACAAAUAUAAUAAAUUAAACAGCAAACUGAGAAAUAUCGAGAGAAAUACUUAUAGAAUAUCCCGCAUCAGUCUACAAUUGUUAAAGACUGCUGUAAUCCAAUAUUGGUAAGUAACAUAUUUAGCUAUAACUAUGUCUAUAAUAAUAAUAAUAAUAAUAAUAACUUUAUUCAUAACAAAAUACCAAUACUGGUACAUAAUGAAUACAUAACAUUGUAUAAAAAAUAUUAAAUCACAAAAUCG
This 2552-nucleotide long non-coding RNA is filed under the name Paramuricea clavata. The record is from RNAcentral. Lineage: Eukaryota; Metazoa; Cnidaria; Anthozoa; Malacalcyonacea; Plexauridae.